This 1013-nucleotide long non-coding RNA is filed under the name Equus asinus (donkey). RNAcentral's name for it is "lncRNA (ENSEASG00005031969.1)". The record is from RNAcentral. Lineage: Eukaryota; Metazoa; Chordata; Mammalia; Perissodactyla; Equidae.
AAACACAUUCCUGCGGGUCAGAGAAAGUGUUUGAUAAAAGCAUAGAGUUAUGACUUUGGAAAUGGGAAUAUUCAGUCACUUGUUGGUUUAGAAAAGCUGCUUGGUGAUCCGUUGGGGCCAUUACAGUUUCUAAAUGAUGUGGCUGCCUUGUCCUGAUUCACUUUAUUUGAUGUAACUUCGUUAUACUGAAAGUUGUAGAUAGGAUGGCCAUUAUUAAGACAAAGGGAACCCAAAGCAGCAAUACCAAAUCAUCACUACUAGCUGGAAGAAUUUUCUGGUAGGAUUGUAUUUCCAAAUAUAUGCUCAUGUUUAAAUUUUCAGAUUACACUCUUGUUGUCCCUUCUCCUCAAUACAGAUUGCUAAAAGAAGCAGACAGUGAUUAAUUGGCAGAGGGAAAAAGGUAAAAUGCAACUGGAAGGGAAGGGAAAAAAGUAGUGAGAAGCUGGCUUAAGAAUGUGAUUCUGAAGAGAAGACAGGAUUUUGGCAGUCCUUGCUAAGCACAUCCACUGGAGUAGAGCCAUGAAGUUUUAAAAAAAUAAUUAUGGUAAAUUAAAAAGAAAUUAGAUAUUGGAUGUCAGACUAAGACUGCCAUAACACACUUCUCUGAUUCAUAUACCAGAUGUUCUGCCAGUGAACUAUUGUCUAAGCAUUGGAAGGAGUUAAGGUUUUUUGUGAAAUUCUCAAGGAUUUUAUGCAUAUAAAGUGGUAUUGUUUGGGCUUAUCACCAUUGCCCAAAGUUUGUUGAGCUUUUCACCAACCACACAGCAUUGGCCGCCUGUUUCCAUUUUCUCCUUUUAUGAGAUGGACUUGGACAUGACUAAUGCAAGCUCAGGAUUCAUAAAUUAUCCUGAAGUUUAUUCAGUGCCUUUCCUCAAUGGAGCUUAAAGCAUAGCACAUAAAUUUUAUCUUAUUUAUCCCUGGAGCAUCGCUAAGGAGCAACUAGGAGCUAUGGCUUGCCACACAGAUUAUGCUGGUGCCAGAGAAGUGGGGAGUUUGAAGCCACUUAUCAAGUA